This 430-nucleotide ribosomal RNA is filed under the name uncultured bacterium. RNAcentral describes it as "partial 16S ribosomal RNA". It matches the Rfam family "Bacterial small subunit ribosomal RNA", at positions 29 to 506 of the family's 1533-position model. The record is from RNAcentral.
AACGAACGCUGGCGGCAGGCUUAACACAUGCAAGUCGAGCGCCUCGCCAGAGGAGCGGCCGACGGGUGCGUAACGCGUGGGAACGUACCCUUAUCUUCGGAAUAGCUCUGGGAAACUGGAAGUAAUACCGAAUGUGCCCUUAGGGGGAAAGAUUUAUCGGAUAAGGAUCGGCCCGCGUUGGAUUAGCUAGUUGGUGGGGUAAAGGCCUACCAAGGCGACGAUCCAUAGCUGGUCUGAGAGGAUGAUCAGCCACAUUGGGACUGAGACACGGCCCAAACUCCUACGGGAGGCAGCAGUGGGGAAUAUUGGACAAUGGGCGCAAGCCUGAUCCAGCCAUGCCGCGUGAGUGAUGAAGGCCUUAGGGUUGUAAAGCUCUUUCACCGGAGAAGAUAAUGACGGUAUCCGGAGAAGAAGCCCCGGCUAACUUCGU